AUGACUAGGGAUAACCUUAGGAAGAGACACAUCAUCAAACCCCUUGAUUGUGUUUACUGCUUGGAACAAGAGUCUUGUUCUCACCUAUUUUUUGAAUAUAUAGUUGCUAAACAUCUCUAGGCCCACAUUGGAAAUUUCUCUAGUCAGAUUGGCUCAUCCUUCGAAUCUGUCGCCAGAUUCUGGAUUGCUACCAAAAAUUGCUCAGUUUUAAACACUGUUAGCUCAACUGUCCUUUGGUGCCUCUAGAAAUAUAGAAAUGCUAUGAUUUUUAGUAACACCUCCUGGAGUUCCAUUCCGCAGGUCUUGAGGUUGAUCAGGAACAUGGUGAGGGACUGGGCGAUUCUCUCCUCCGGAUCGGACAAGGACAAGUUGAUGAGCUUCAUGGAAACCCUAACAAGAUCCCUCCAGAAACCGUUGGCGAUCACUUGUGGCUGA
RNAcentral lists this ribosomal RNA (435 nucleotides) under Triticum aestivum (bread wheat). RNAcentral describes it as "partial small subunit ribosomal RNA". The record is from RNAcentral. Lineage: Eukaryota; Viridiplantae; Streptophyta; Magnoliopsida; Poales; Poaceae.